This 458-nucleotide unclassified non-coding RNA is filed under the name Aspergillus calidoustus. RNAcentral describes it as "sequence contains ITS1, 5.8S rRNA gene, ITS2". The stretch from base 130 to 283 matches the Rfam family "5.8S ribosomal RNA". Lineage: Eukaryota; Fungi; Ascomycota; Eurotiomycetes; Eurotiales; Aspergillaceae. The record is from RNAcentral.
CUAACCUCCCACCCGUGAAUACCUGACCAACGUUGCUUCGGCGGUGCGCCCCCCCCGGGGGUAGCCGCCGGAGACCACACCGAACCUCCUGUCUUUAGUGUUGUCUGAGCUUGAUAGCAAACCUAUUAAAACUUUCAACAAUGGAUCUCUUGGUUCCGGCAUCGAUGAAGAACGCAGCGAACUGCGAUAAGUAAUGUGAAUUGCAGAAUUCAGUGAAUCAUCGAGUCUUUGAACGCACAUUGCGCCCCCUGGCAUUCCGGGGGGCAUGCCUGUCCGAGCGUCAUUGCUGCCCUUCAAGCCCGGCUUGUGUGUUGGGUCGUCGUCCCCCCCGGGGGACGGGCCCGAAAGGCAGCGGCGGCACCGCGUCCGGUCCUCGAGCGUAUGGGGCUUUGUCACCCGCUCGAUUAGGGCCGGCCGGGCGCCAGCCGGCGUCUCCAACCUUCUAUUUUACCAGGUUG